GUUCGGGCUCCCCGCGUCUUACCUCCCCCUCCCCUAGAGCGGUAAGGAGAGGGGAGGGGAAUGGAGAGAGGGAAGGGGAGGGGAGAGUAAGGGGCUAGCAGCUGCGCGCACGCGCAAGUUGAACCCGAGCUGGAGCUGGAGACUGAGGGGUUCUGGUCUCCAGCAGCGCGCGUGUGAAGAAUGGGGCAGCUGGUACCGAGAACGAAGGUGAAACCUUUCUCCCCAUGGAGGGCUUGGGAAGAAGCCGUGAUCUGGGGGGGGGGGGGGGGGGGGGGGGGGGCAGCGGAAUUCACACGUAGAUGCUGUUGACCAGGCUACCCCAAAGGAAACCUUAACUCAGCUAUGUUAAGACCUGAAAUGGAAUCUUAAGCGUUGAGACCAUGCCAAAGAUUUCACCUGUCUUCUGUCGUCAUUUAAGAUUCUCCUAUUUCUGCCUGCCAUCCACGAAAUUAUAAGUAAAGCCUCCACGAUCUGGUCCCCAGAUGAAUUUAGGGUUGCUCUGAGAAGUGCACACGAGUAUAUUUCUCUCUAGAAGUUUCAGAGGCCGCUUGACCCUUCUACAUCCUGCCAGGCUGAUGUCUGAACAGGCUGCCUCCCUACAGAGCAGAAAGAAGGUUCUGUUGUAAGAACAUACUUAGAAGAUAAGACGGGUUCUGCUGUUUCUUUUGAGAGAUGGGGAAACCAAAGCUGAGAGGCUCAGCCCUGCCAGGAUCAGAAGCCAAGCAACGUGACAUCAGAGCCCGCACACGCCAGCUAGACUGCCUCCUGGUAUAAAAAUCAAAGCUGGUUCACAAUCUCAGCCCAGCCUCAGGAAUCAGACUGCUCAGGUUCAGUGCUCCGUCUCAGCCCUCUCUAAUUGUUUGACCUUCUUUGUGCCUGGUUUCUGACCCCCAAAAAAAUAGAAUAAAGGCUGGGAGUGGUGGCGCAUGCCAGUAUCCCUAGCUCUCGGGAUGUGACAGCAGAACAAACACAAAUCCAAGGCCAGCCUCCACUACAUUGUAAGGUUGAAGCCAGUCUGGACCACAUGAGACCCUGCCUCAAAAAAAGAGGGAAGCCGGCAGUCCUACCUCAUAGAGUUACUGUAACAAUUAAUUGUUUUUUAAUUAAUGAAUCGAUCAACGGAACUUAGAACAAUUCCCAGGACAUAGUAAAAUCUCAGUUAAAUGUUCAUUUUUUUACUACUACUUAGACUAAAAUAUCAGCUAAGAAGUACGUGGCAGGCAGAGAACCGUUCCACUGUUGUCAGGUCUGAGAACAUUUAUAUAAAAUCAGAAGUUGUAAAAACCCCGUGAGAUCCACCUGACUCAGCCCAUUCUGCGCAGCCUUCCUCUGUCCUAAUCACUGCACUUUUCGGUGUUUGCCCCUGCCAGACAGCCUCCUAUAUACUGACAACUGGUUGAAUCUCUCAGAUUGUUGCAGUCUAGAUCCAGGAGACUGUAAACUGGAGAGGACAGGGACUUUGUCUUUAUUAUGACACAGAGCAAUGCUGGAAUAUUAAAUAUUUAUUGAACCAGUGAAUGGACUAUCGUUUUAUUAAUAAGAGACUCAAACAGUUUAAGUGAUCUGGACCAAGGAGCACCCAUUUGUUCUUAAAUAUUCUGGUUCCCUGCUCUGAACCCUCAGGUCCAGCAGAGCUUUUGAUUGGCAAGUUCUAAUCUGCCACUUCUGGACUCUCAGGCAGGAGAAUCUGGUACCAUGUAAGCUAGAUUCUGAAAAUCCAUCACCAGACAGAUCACUUCCUCCACUACCAUGUUAUCCAGGAAAUUCAGACGUGUGGAGCUAACUGCCCUGUGUGCUAGCCAAAGGCACAUCACCAUCCUUGGGAUGCUUGUAGAAUUUGUAAUAUUUAGUAAUCAUCCUGCUGAAGAGAAGAAUAGGUCUUAGGCUAGCAGCAAACAUGAGAAACAAGGCAGGUGUAAAUCACGACUAGUUUCAAAGUGUUGUGCAACCACACACCAAAAUCUAUUGGUCUAACUUUUAAAAUCCCCAAGUCCUGGAUUCCAGAGCUGGCCUUUCACUCUUAGCGUGCAGACGGAAGCAUGUGGAGAGCACUGUCUGUGCAGGAGAGAUUUUCCUGUCAGUGCACACCACCACCUGUUACCUGUCUUAUCUCUGAGGAUGGCUGAGCUCAACCGAUAAUGAGGAUAUAAAUAACACCCACUAAGAAGACAAAGAAACUAUCCUUACACCCCGGGCCCAUCUGCCAAAUCAGACCUCCAGUCCCAGUUCACCCUGCAGAAGCUCUCAUUAGGUUCCAAGGGUAAAGGUCCCAAGCACAAUCUCUCAGGCUAAUUUCCUAGGCAGAAACACUUUGGCUCCAUGCUUACAUCUGGGUGGUGACUGUGCCAUGCUGCAGGCCCAGCAAAGGGUCCCUCGGGACCACCUCUAUCCCAUCUGCCAGCUGAGCCCCAUCACUACCUCCUCACUACAACCCUCCUGCUUCUUUCUAGGGAAUAUAGACCCUGCUAGCUGUCUGUCUGUUAGUCCCUGGAGCGGUCAAGAGCUCUAAGAUUUAAAAAAGAAUAAAUAAAAGCAUGAAAAGGGUCUUAAUCUUUCCCCACUGCAAACUGAGCUCCCGAGAACACAAACACCAGCUGCAUGAAACAGGAUGAAAUGAGACAGUGAAAUUGGGGUAACCAGUAUGGAGAGUCAGGGAGGGGAGAUGAGGCCCCCAGGGACCUGGAAGGGAUGGGAUUGGAAGAAAGAGGGAGGGGACAAAUGGAGUCUAACCCAUGCUCAAAUCUGGGUCAGGGGUGGAUUAGGGGCACAGCUGGCCUCAAGCCCCAGUGAUAGGGUUCAUGGAGAACAUUCAUUUGUGGCGGGCUUUGAAAAGCUGGGCACAUCAGCAAAAUGUUCUAAACGGUCAUUAUGGAAUAAAAACCAGCCCUGCGCUAACUGCACAGAGAAAGCAGAGCAGAACAAGUCUCUCAUAUUCUCCUCACCAUCAAACUUACACUGUAAACUAUUUUUUUUUUUGAAACUAGAGACUUUCAAAUGCUAGGAAACCAUUCUGCCACUGACCUACAGUCUAAGUCUGUAGUCUAGGUUGGUCUGUAACUCGAAGCAAUACUCCUGCCUCAGCUUCAUGAGUAGCUAGGAGUACAAGCCUGGCUACUUUAGGCCUUUUAAACAAAAAUGAUAAAUCAAUCAAAGUAUAUGGGGAUGGAAAUUACUAUUAAUAAGAAGGAAUGCCUUCCUAAGGGGAUAUUUUUAUUAGGAGUACUCAAAUUUUAGAGAAUACAGUUAAGAAUAGAUGUAGUUAAAUAGAAAUAUAAGUCACAUAAAGUCACUAAUGAGAAAUGUAACUACCUCAAGGUUGUGAUAGAACACUUUCCCUUUGAAUACCUUUCACACACGGGCACACACACAUUUAUACACGCACACAUUUUCACUUGCGUAUAUUAAUUUCAGUAAUGGGCAAUUGCUGCUUUUUUAGGUAGAUUAAAUAUCACAGUAUCAUUUGCCUCAGCCUACUGAGUCUUUGUUUUGCAGGUGUGGUGUUCAUCUGUGCUUGUGUGUGCCUGUAAAGACCAGAGUGUGACAUCAGAUGUCUUCCUCUGUCUUCCACCUUUGUUUUGUUUUUUUGAGACAGUCUCACUGAACCUGGAACUUACUGUUGUGGGUAGCCCUGCUGGCCAGUGAGCACCUGGGAUCCACAGUCUCUGCCCUCUGCUUCCCCAAACCCCCAGCCCUGAGAUUGCAGACACACACCACCAUGCCCCUGCCUCUACAUGGGAUCAGACUCAGGUCCACAUACUCAUAUGGCAAGCAGUUUACCCACUGAAUAUCUCCUUAAUCCCUCAGUCUAAAGUACUUCUGGGUUGUUGUUGUUGUUGUUGUUGCUGCUGCUGCUGCUGCUGCUGCUGCUGUUGCUGCUGCUGCGUUUUUGAGACUGAGUCUCACUGUGUAGCACCUGCUGGCCUGGAACUCACAGAGAUCUGCUCUGUCUCAUGAGUUCUCAGCAAGGAUGAUUGGUUUUGUUCUUGUUUUUUGUUUUGUUGUUGUUUGUUUGUUUGAAAACUUAUUGUAUGGAACUGACUUUUCACUUAACAACAGAUUACAAUAAAUAUUUUAACAGUA
Long non-coding RNA from Mus musculus (house mouse), 4080 nucleotides. RefSeq annotates it as predicted gene, 36157. The record is from RefSeq and is a predicted model, not a curated record. NCBI's taxonomy places the organism in Eukaryota, Metazoa, Chordata, Mammalia, Rodentia, Muridae. The transcript is spliced from 2 exons.